This 254-nucleotide ribosomal RNA is filed under the name uncultured bacterium. RNAcentral describes it as "partial 16S ribosomal RNA". It matches the Rfam family "Archaeal small subunit ribosomal RNA", at positions 474 to 727 of the family's 1478-position model. The record is from RNAcentral.
UACCAGCACCCCGAGUGGUCGGGACGUUUAUUGGGCCUAAAGCAUCCGUAGCCGGUUCUACAAGUCUUCCGUUAAAUCCAACUGCUUAACAGGUGGGCUGCGGAAGAUACUAUAAGACUAGGAGGCAGGAGAGGCAAGCGGUACUCAGUGGGUAGGGGUAAAAUCCUUUGAUCCAUUGAAGACCACCAGUGGCGAAGGCGGCUUGCCAGAACGCGCUCGACGGUGAGGGAUGAAAGCUGGGGGGAGCAAACCGG